GCCCGAAAUGGCCUACUCAA
Molecule: small nuclear RNA, 20 nt
Filed under: Arabidopsis thaliana (thale cress)
Lineage: Eukaryota; Viridiplantae; Streptophyta; Magnoliopsida; Brassicales; Brassicaceae
Description: snRNA_08832
Source: RNAcentral